Helianthus annuus (common sunflower) is the source of this 413-nucleotide long non-coding RNA. RefSeq lists it as uncharacterized. Lineage: Eukaryota; Viridiplantae; Streptophyta; Magnoliopsida; Asterales; Asteraceae. The record is from RefSeq and is a predicted model, not a curated record. The transcript is spliced from 3 exons.
ACCUGUUUUCGCAUUUAAUGAAGAUGAAGAUGCAUUGUUUGAGAGUAGGGUUGUUGAAGAUCCUGAACCUAUUUCUUCAGAGUUUCCAGUUCUGAAUCAAAAUGGCACAAAUGAUGAUGAAGAUGGUGUUCAGAAUUGUACUUUUACACAGUUCCAUACAACAUCAGAUUCAGAUCUGGUUCAAGUGGUGGAGGUGACGGUGGUUCCUCCUGCCGGAAAACCACUUAGUAGCUACUUGGCGGUGGUGGUCCAUGAGUGACGUGAAGCAUGGUGUGGUUCAUAUGACGGUUCGAUGUUUCAGAUUACGAGGUCGAUGUUGAACAACUGGUUAAGAUCUGAAGCAUUUAGUUCUUGUUUUCUGGAUAUGUUGUUUUUUAUUACUGAUUUUUUCAUUUUUUUGUGUAAAAUUUGUU